GACGAACGCUGGCGGCGUGCUUAACACAUGCAAGUCGAGCGGUAAGGCCCUUUCGGGGGUACACGAGCGGCGAACGGGUGAGUAACACGUGGGUGACCUGCCCUCAGCUCUGGGAUAAGCCUGGGAAACCGGGUCUAAUACUGGAUAUGACUCCAUGACGCAUGUUGUGGGGUGGAAAGCCUUGUGCGGCUGAGGAUGGGCCCGCGGCCUAUCAGCUUGUUGGUGGGGUGAGGGCCUACCAAGGCGACGACGGGUAGCCGGCCUGAGAGGGCGACCGGCACACUGGGACUGAGACACGGCCCAGACUCCUACGGGAGGCAGCAGGUGGGGAAUCUUGCGCAAUGGGCGAAAGCCUGACGCAGCGACGCCGCGUGAGGGAUGACGGCCUGGUGUAA
This 395-nucleotide ribosomal RNA is filed under the name uncultured bacterium. RNAcentral describes it as "bacterial SSU rRNA". It matches the Rfam family "Bacterial small subunit ribosomal RNA", at positions 28 to 428 of the family's 1533-position model. The record is from RNAcentral.